RNAcentral lists this ribosomal RNA (1212 nucleotides) under uncultured bacterium. RNAcentral describes it as "bacterial SSU rRNA". It matches the Rfam family "Bacterial small subunit ribosomal RNA", at positions 151 to 1383 of the family's 1533-position model. The record is from RNAcentral.
CCGAAAGGGAGAUUAAUACCGCAUAAUAAUCAGUUUUCACAUGGAGAUUGAUUUAAAGGAGUAAUCCGCUUUGAGAUGGACCCGCGGCGCAUUAGCUAGUUGGUAGGGUAACGGCCUACCAAGGCGACGAUGCGUAGCCGACCUGAGAGGGUGAUCGGCCACAUUGGAACUGAGAGACGGUCCAGACUCUACGGGAGGCAGCAGUGGGGAAUAUUGCACAAUGGGCGAAAGCCUGAUGCAGCAACGCCGCGUGAGUGAAGAAGGUUUUCGGAUUGUAAAGCUCUGUCUUUGGGGACGAUAAUGACGGUACCCAAGGAGGAAGCCACGGCUAACUACGUGCCAGCAGCCGCGGUAAUACGUAGGUGGCGAGCGUUGUCCGGAAUUACUGGGCGUAAAGAGUGCGUAGGCGGAUAUUUAAGUGAGAUGUGAAAUACCCGGGCUUAACCCGGGCACUGCAUUUCAAACUGGAUAUCUAGAGUGCGGGAGAGGAGAAUGGAAUUCCUAGUGUAGCGGUGAAAUGCGUAGAGAUUAGGAAGAACACCAGUGGCGAAGGCGAUUCUCUGGACCGUAACUGACGCUGAGGCACGAAAGCGUGGGUAGCAAACAGGAUUAGAUACCCUGGUAGUCCACGCCGUAAACGAUGAGUACUAGGUGUAGGAGGUAUCGACCCCUUCUGUGCCGCAGUAAACACAAUAAGUACUCCGCCUGGGAAGUACGAUCGCAAGAUUAAAACUCAAAGGAAUUGACGGGGGCCCGCACAAGCAGCGGAGCAUGUGGUUUAAUUCGAAGCAACGCGAAGAACCUUACCUGGACUUGACAUACCCUGAAUAUCUUAGAGAUAAGAGAAGCCCUUCGGGGCAGGGAUACAGGUGGUGCAUGGUUGUCGUCAGCUCGUGUCGUGAGAUGUUAGGUUAAGUCCUGCAACGAGCGCAACCCCUGUUGUUAGUUGCUAACAUUUAGUUGAGCACUCUAGCAAGACUGCCGCGGUUAACGCGGAGGAAGGUGGGGAUGACGUCAAAUCAUCAUGCCCCUUAUGUCCUGGGCAACACACGUGCUACAAUGGGCAGUACAGAGAGAAGCAAGACCGCAAGGUGGAGCAAACCUCAAAAACUGCCCCCAGUUCGGAUUGCAGGCUGAAACUCGCCUACAUGAAGUUGGAGUUGCUAGUAAUCGCGAAUCAGAAUGUCGCGGUGAAUACGUUCCCGGGCCUUG